Long non-coding RNA from Orbicella faveolata, 870 nucleotides. The record is from RefSeq and is a predicted model, not a curated record. Lineage: Eukaryota; Metazoa; Cnidaria; Anthozoa; Scleractinia; Merulinidae.
CCCCAUAUUUGCACUUUGGAGCACUUUUAAACAACUAUGUUUAAUUAACUUGAUCAACAGAACAUACAGUUUUACCCCAUACUGGGCAUGUCCUGGAGUGUAUAUGCGUGGCACUCAAGCUGAAAAUAGUAAAAUUUGGGCCAGCAUUUAGUACAAAUCUGAUUUUUGAAACCUGAAGAUCUGUGUUGAAGAUGCUUAGCGUGUACUCAAAAUGUCACAUAAAUGGACCUUUUAACAACUUCACGAAAUAGCAACAAUUUUUCGCAUUUUUCAAAGAAACAAAAAACAACCAUCGUAGUUUGAAUUAUUUAUCACGCGGAAUUUAGAAAAUCUACAAAGUUUUAAAAGAAUCCAUUGCAAACUCAUAAAAAUAUGGGACCCCAAACUAACAUGCAAAAGUAUUCCACAGGGUAUUCAUUGUUCCACUGGCAUACAUCUCUUUGUAAAAAAUGGCAAGUUAGGGUUCCCAUUCCCAUAUAUUUUUGAUUUUGCAAUGGAUUCUAACCAAAUACUUCGAUAAAUUGAGUGGUGCGGUAUAUUUUUUGUUUGAAAGGAAAAAUUGGAAAAGCCUGACAUCGGUAAAAAGGUCCGUUGUUUUGUACUUUGUUGUUGUGUUACUUUGUUACAGAGCCCUUAGCAGGAACAAAUUAAAGAAGUUUCCUGGAGGAUCUUUCAAAAAUUGCCAGUCACUACGAUAUCUGUCUGCGGAUCAGAAUGAGAUUUACAGCCUCACUGUUCCUAACAUGAGACCUUUCUUUGGAAAUGACUCGCAGCUUGUUCACUUGAAUGUAAGCAACAACCAAAUCUCAACUAUAUCUACUGGAGCAUUCUCCAACUUAAUCCAUCUUAAAGUUCUGUAAGUAUAUCAGC